This 67-nucleotide transfer RNA is filed under the name Chattonella subsalsa. The record is from RNAcentral. Lineage: Eukaryota; Raphidophyceae; Chattonellales; Chattonellaceae.
UUGUUAGGGUUAGUGCUUCUAGUGAUGUCUUUUGAUCUUAUUUCUUUAUAUUUAGCAAUUGAGAUGC